ACGGCGUCGCCAAGCAGUCAAGGUACGGGUGGGUAGGUUUUACUUUUGCCUUUCUCUGGAUUGUGGUUCUUCGCCUCUCUCGCAAACCGGGACAAUGGGCAGGUAAUGGGAGGACGAGAAAGAAUUAGGAAGGCCUCACCUGCCUCGACCCAAAACCGCCUCUGGAAUGAAACGAGUCCUGUAACAAAAAUUACGUUAUAUUUUAGUAUCAAAAUUUGAACAAAUUCAAAGGUGUAAAAGGGCAACAAAUUCUAGAACAGGUUUUAGUUAUUAAAAAAUUUCAUAUUCACCAAAAAAAAAAAAAAAGGAUUUUUCAGAAGACAAGCUGAGAUUGGAGGCGACGGUGGCAUAUGAACGAUACUGGACAAUCCUCACGAGGACUCCUUUUAGAGUUUUUAGUUUGCUGACCGACCGCUCCGACACAAAUUUAC
This 431-nucleotide long non-coding RNA is filed under the name Olea europaea subsp. europaea. The record is from RNAcentral. Lineage: Eukaryota; Viridiplantae; Streptophyta; Magnoliopsida; Lamiales; Oleaceae.